GAAGGCAGCGGAGCCUUUCCCGAGCUGAGACGCCCGUUGCCUGGCAACCCUUAUUUCUUACCUCCAGCGCGAAAGUGGUGCCUGCAUCUGCGCACCGCUUAGGUCGAUGCUAUCUUGUAAGGGCGCUGCUUCUUCGCUUAUCUCAUGUUGCUCACAGACGGUUUCUCCCUCCUUUGAAAGGUCUCAUGUGUGCGCGUGAAAAGGAGCUGCAGCCUGCAACAUGCGGGGAGGUCUGCGGAGAGACCCCUACAGGCAGAGCCACCACCCACACCCAGUGCCCCGGAAGGUGACUUCGAGGUCAGAUGUGGAUCCUGGAGUUCAAACAAACCCCUGGGGGGAUGGGAAGGAGGGGAGCAGUAGCUUCAGGAGGAG
Molecule: long non-coding RNA, 372 nt
Filed under: Fukomys damarensis (Damara mole-rat)
Lineage: Eukaryota; Metazoa; Chordata; Mammalia; Rodentia; Bathyergidae
Description: lncRNA (ENSFDAG00000024735.1)
Source: RNAcentral